Non-coding RNA from Brachypodium distachyon (stiff brome), 125 nucleotides. Lineage: Eukaryota; Viridiplantae; Streptophyta; Magnoliopsida; Poales; Poaceae. The record is from Rfam.
UAAGUACUACCUCCGUUCCAUAAUUCUUGUCUCAAAUUUGUCCCAAAAUGGAUGUAUCUAUUCCUAAAAAGCGUCUAGAUACAUGUAAUAUUUCGACAAGAAUUAUGGAACGGAGGGAGUAUUUG